GAUGAAGAACGUAGCGAAAUGCGAUAAGUAAUGUGAAUUGCAGAAUUCAGUGAAUCAUCGAAUCUUUGAACGCACAUUGCGCCCCCCAGUAUUCUGGCGGGCAUGCCUGUUCGAGCGUCAUUUCAACCAUCAAGCCCUGCUUGUGUUGGGGUCCUGCGGCUGCCCGCAGGCCCUGAAAACCAGUGGCGGGCUCGCUAGUCACACCGCGCGCAGUAGCACAUCUCGCUCAGGGCGUGCGGCGGGCUCCAGCCGUUAAAGCACCCACCUUUCGCAAGGUUGACCUCGGAUCAGGUAGGAAUACCCGCUGAACUUAAGCAUAUCAAUAAGCGGAGGA
RNAcentral lists this unclassified non-coding RNA (334 nucleotides) under soil metagenome. RNAcentral describes it as "partial contains 5.8S ribosomal RNA, internal transcribed spacer 2, and large subunit ribosomal RNA". The stretch from base 1 to 120 matches the Rfam family "5.8S ribosomal RNA", at positions 35 to 154 of the family's 154-position model. The record is from RNAcentral.